This 458-nucleotide ribosomal RNA is filed under the name uncultured bacterium. RNAcentral's name for it is "partial 16S ribosomal RNA". It matches the Rfam family "Bacterial small subunit ribosomal RNA", at positions 338 to 795 of the family's 1533-position model. The record is from RNAcentral.
CCUACGGGGUGCAGCAGUGAGGAAUAUUGGUCAAUGGGCGAGAGCCUGAACCAGCCAAGUCGCGUGAGGGAGUACUGCCCUAUGGGUUGUAAACCUCUUUUGUCGGGGAGCAAAAGCCGGACGUGUCCGGCUGUGAGAGUACCCGAAGAAAAAGCAUCGGCUAACUCCGUGCCAGCAGCCGCGGUAAUACGGAGGAUGCGAGCGUUAUCCGGAUUUAUUGGGGUUAAAGGGUGCGCAGGCGGGUUUUUAAGUCAGCGGUCAAAUCGUGGGGCUCAACCCCGUCCAGCCGUUGAAACUGGGGAUCUAGAGUGUGCGAGAGGUAUGCGGAAUGCGUGGUGUAGCGGUGAAAUGCAUAGAUAUCACGCAGAACCCCGAUUGCGAAGGCAGCAUACCGGUGCACAACUGACGCUCAGGCACGAAAGCGUGGGUAUCGAACAGGAUUAGAUACCCUGGUAGUC